RNAcentral lists this ribosomal RNA (253 nucleotides) under uncultured bacterium. RNAcentral describes it as "partial 16S ribosomal RNA". It matches the Rfam family "Bacterial small subunit ribosomal RNA", at positions 524 to 776 of the family's 1533-position model. The record is from RNAcentral.
UACGUAGGUGGCAAGCGUUGUCCGGAUUUACUGGGCGUAAAGGGCUUGUAGGCGGUUCGUUAAGUCUGGCGUGAAAUCCCCCGGCUCAACCGGGGGGGGGCAUCGGAUACUGGCGGACUUGAGGUAGGUAGAGGAAAGCAGAAUUCCUGGUGUAGCGGUGAAAUGCGUAGAUAUCAGGAGGAAUACCAGUGGCGAAGGCGGCUUUCUGGGCCUAUCCUGACGCUGAGGAGCGAAAGCGUGGGGAGCAAACCGG